AUGGCUUCUGCCACUAGCAGCGGCAGCAAGACUCUGAGUGUCCUGCUCUUCCCCCACUUUGCGACCAGCCACAUCGAGCCCUUCACCGAGCUCGCCCUUCGCCUCGCAGCGUCUAGGCCAGACGCCGCCGUGGAAGCGACCGUCGCGGUCACGCCGGCGAACGUCCCGGUCGUCCAGUCCUUCCUGGAUCGCCGAUGGCACGGGCGUAGCGCAGCAACCGUCAGGAUAGUGACGUAUCCGUUCCCAACGGUGGAGGGCCUGCCCAAGGGCGUCGAGAACCUUGGGAAGGCGGCCACUCAGGCGGAUUCCAUGCUCAUCAACCUCGCUGCCUCGAGCGAGACCCUGAUGCGCCCCGCGCAGGAGGCGCUCAUCCGGGCGCGGUCUCCAGACGCGAUCUUCACCGACAUGCUCUUCACCUGGAGCACCGACAUCGCCAACGAGCUCGGCGUGCCAUGCGUCGCACUCAAUGUCGUUGGUGCCUUCCCGAUGCUCGCUAUGCGCCACCUCCUGAUGGAGGACGCUGCGAUCGACGGAGAUGACAUGGUGACAGCCCCUCCGUUUCCGAUCCCUCCUAUACGGGUCCCGAGGACCGAGCUGCCGGACGUAUCGAUAUUUCGACACGUCUUCGGCAAGGUUCAUUCCAUGCAAGCUGCCUGCUUCGGCCUCGCCGCCAACACGUUCUCAGGCCUGGAGCAGCAGUACUGCGACAUGUACAUGGGCCAAGGGUACGUCCAGCGCUCCUACUUUGUAGGGCCUCUCUCGCUGCAACUGCAAUCCUCUGACUCUGAGAGCUCCACGGGUGCUGCUGAUUCUCAGUACAUCGAUUGGCUUGACACAAAGCCAGACCAUUCGGUCGUGUACGUGUCCUUUGGCACGUGUGCCCUCGCAUCGGAGGCUCAGCUGGACCAAAUUGCUCUUGGGUUGGAGGCCUCGGGGAAGUCGUUUUUGUGGGUGGUCAGGGGGGCGGACAAGUGGACUCCACCCAAAGGGUGGGAGGAGCGUGUCGACGACCGGGGGAUCAUCAUCAGAUCCUGGGCUCCACAAACCGCCAUACUAGCUCACCCGGCAGUGGGCGCAUUCGUGACGCAGUGCGGGUGGAACUCCGUCCUAGAGGCGGUGGCCGCGGGCGUGCCUAUGCUCACAUGGCCAAAGGUGUACGAGCAGUUCAUCACCGAGAGGCUAAUCACGGACGUACUAGGAAUCGGGGAGCGACUGUGGCCGCACGGCGCUGGCUUACGAAGCGAGGAUUACGAAAAACAUGAGGUGAUCCCGGCCGACGAUGUGGCGCGGGCGUUGCUCACAUUCAUGCAUCCUGGAGGGCCUGGGGAGGUGAUGAGGACCAGGGUAAUGGACCUCGCCUCAAAGUCUCGUGCGGCCAUGGCAGAAGGAGGCUCCUCGCAGAAUGAUUUGCACCGCCUCGUCAAUGAUCUCAUCGCAGCAAGAGGAUAG
RNAcentral lists this ribosomal RNA (1449 nucleotides) under Triticum aestivum (bread wheat). Its description in RNAcentral is "partial small subunit ribosomal RNA". The record is from RNAcentral. Lineage: Eukaryota; Viridiplantae; Streptophyta; Magnoliopsida; Poales; Poaceae.